Molecule: ribosomal RNA, 454 nt
Filed under: uncultured bacterium
Lineage: Bacteria
Description: partial 16S ribosomal RNA
Rfam family: Bacterial small subunit ribosomal RNA
Source: RNAcentral
GAUGAACGCUGACAGCAUGCUUAACACAUGCAAGUCUACUUGAACUUCGGUUUGGGUGGCGGACGGGUGAGUAACGCGUAAAGAACUUGCCUCACAGAUAGGGACAACAUUUGGAAACGAAUGCUAAUACCUGAUAUUAUGAUUUUAGGGCAUCCUAGAAUUAUGAAAGCUAUAUGCACUGUGAGAGAGCUUUGCGUCCCAUUAGCUAGUUGGAGAGGUAACGGCUCACCAAGGCGAUGAUGGGUAGCCGGCCUGAGAGGGUGAUCGGCCACAAGGGGACUGAGACACGGCCCUUACUCCUACGGGAGGCAGCAGUGGGGAAUAUUGGACAAUGGACCAAGAGUCUGAUCCAGCAAUUCUGUGUGCACGAUGAAGUUUUUCGGAAUGUAAAGUGCUUUCAGUUGGGAAGAAAAAAAUGACGGUACCAACAGAAGAAGUGACGGCUAAAUACGUG